UACUGCAGUCGACGGCAGCACGGGUGCUUGCACCUGGUGGCGAGUGGCGAACGGGUGAGUAAUACAUCGGAACAUGUCCUGUAGUGGGGGAUAGCCCGGCGAAAGCCGGAUUAAUACCGCAUACGAUCUACGGAUGAAAGCGGGGGACCUUCGGGCCUCGCGCUAUAGGGUUGGCCGAUGGCUGAUUAGCUAGUUGGUGGGGUAAAGGCCUACCAAGGCGACGAUCAGUAGCUGGUCUGAGAGGACGACCAGCCACACUGGGACUGAGACACGGCCCAGACUCCUACGGGAGGCAGCAGUGGGGAAUUUUGGACAAUGGGCGAAAGCCUGAUCCAGCAAUGCCGCGUGUGUGAAGAAGGCCUUCGGGUUGUAAAGCACUUUUGUCCGGAAAGAAAUCCUUGGCUCUAAUACAGUCGGGGGAUGACGGUACCGGAAGAAUAAGCACCGGCUAACUACGUGCCAGCAGCCGCGGUAAUACGUAGGGUGCGAGCGUUAAUCGGAAUUACUGGGCGUAAAGCGUGCGCAGGCGGUUUGCUAAGACCGAUGUGAAAUCCCCGGGCUCAACCUGGGAACUGCAUUGGUGACUGGCAGGCUAGAGUAUGGCAGAGGGGGGUAGAAUUCCACGUGUAGCAGUGAAAUGCUAGAGAUGUGGAGGAAUACCGAUGGCGAAGGCAGCCCCCUGGGCCAAUACUGACGCUCAUGCACGAAAGCGUGGGGAGCAAACGGAUAGAUACCCUGGUAGUCCCGCCCUACAUGUCACUAGUGGGGAUUCAUUCCUUAGUAACGUAGCUAACGUGAAUGACCGCCUGGGGAGUACGUCGCAAGAUAAAACUCAAAAUUGACGGGGACCCCCAACGGGGAGAUGUGAAU
Molecule: ribosomal RNA, 870 nt
Filed under: Burkholderia cepacia
Lineage: Bacteria; Pseudomonadati; Pseudomonadota; Betaproteobacteria; Burkholderiales; Burkholderiaceae
Description: bacterial SSU rRNA
Rfam family: Bacterial small subunit ribosomal RNA
Source: RNAcentral